ACUGCUCAGUAACACGUGGACAACCUGCCCAAAGGUCCGGGAUAACCCCGGGAAACUGGGGAUAAUACCGGAUAAAUCACAGGUACUGGAAGGUCUUGUGGUUGAAACUUCCGGGGCCUUUGGAUGGGUCUGCGGCGGAUUAGGUUGUUGCCGGUGUAACGUACCGUCAAGCCUGUAAUCCGUACGGGUUGUGGGAGCAAGAGCCCGGAGAUGGAUUCUGAGACACGAAUCCAGGCCCUACGGGGCGCAGCAGGCGCGAAAACUCUACAAUGCAGGCAACUGCGAUAGGGGAACAUCGAGUGAUACUCAUAUUGGGUGUCUGUCCCACCGUCUAAAAAACGGUGGUUAGCAAGGGCCGGGCAGGACCGGUGCCAGCCGCCGCGGUAAUACCGGCGGCUCGAGUGGUGGCCGAUAUUAUUGAGUCUAAAGGGUCCGUAGCCGGCUUUGCAAGUCUUUUGGGAAAUCCAGCGGCUUAACCGUUGGUCGUCCGGGAGAUACUACAUUGCUUGGGACUGGGAGAGGUAGGAGGUACUCAGGGGGUAGGAGUGAAAUCCUGUAAUCCUUUGGGGACCACCGGUGGCGAAGGCGUCCUACCAGAACAGGUCCGACGGUGAGGGACGAAAGCUAGGGGCACGAACCGGAUUAGAUACCCGGGUAGUCCUAGCCGUAAACGAUGCUCGCUAGGUGUCACAACAGUCGUGAACUGUUGUGGUGCCGUAGGGAAGCCGUGAAGCGAGCCACUUGGGAAGUACGACCGCAAGGUUGAAACUUAAAGGAAUUGGCGGGGGAGCAC
RNAcentral lists this ribosomal RNA (793 nucleotides) under uncultured archaeon. Its description in RNAcentral is "bacterial SSU rRNA". It matches the Rfam family "Archaeal small subunit ribosomal RNA", at positions 85 to 879 of the family's 1478-position model. The record is from RNAcentral.